This 440-nucleotide ribosomal RNA is filed under the name uncultured bacterium. RNAcentral describes it as "partial 16S ribosomal RNA". It matches the Rfam family "Bacterial small subunit ribosomal RNA", at positions 338 to 795 of the family's 1533-position model. The record is from RNAcentral.
CCUACGGGAGGCAGCAGUGGGGGAUAUUGCACAAUGGGGGGAACCCUGAUGCAGCGACGCCGCGUGGGUGAAGAAGCGCCUCGGCGCGUAAAGCCCUGUCAGCAGGGAAGAAAAUGACGGUACCUGAAGAAGAAGCCCCGGCUAACUACGUGCCAGCAGCAGCGGUAAUACGUAGGGGGGAAGCGUUAUCCGGAUUUACUGGGUGGAAAGGGGGGGGAGACGGCGAUGCAAGCCAGGAGUGAAAGCCCGGGGCCCAACCCCGGGACUGCUCUUGGAACUGCGUGGCUGGAGUGCAGGAGGGGCAGGCGGAAUUCCUGGUGUAGCGGUGAAAUGCGUAGAUAUCAGGAGGAACACCGGUGGCGAAGGCGGCCUGCUGGACUGCAACUGACGUUGAGGCCCGAAAGCGUGGGGAGCAAACAGGAUUAGAUACCCCGGUAGUC